This is a long non-coding RNA of Sapajus apella (tufted capuchin), 126 nucleotides long. RefSeq lists it as uncharacterized. The record is from RefSeq and is a predicted model, not a curated record. NCBI's taxonomy places the organism in Eukaryota, Metazoa, Chordata, Mammalia, Primates, Cebidae. The transcript has 3 exons.
GUAGUCUGUGUCUCUUUGUAGGUCUCUAAGAACUUGCUUUAUGAAUCUGGGUGCUCCUGUAUUAGGUGUAUAGUUAUUUAAGAUAGCUAGCUCAUGGUACUGGUACCAAAACAGAGAUAUAGACCA